CACGCACACACACACACACACACACACACACACACACACACACACACACACAGCCUGUUAUAGUACACACACACACACACAGAGCCUGUUAUAGUACACACCCACACACAGAGCCUGUUAUAGUACACACACACAAACACACACACACACAGAGCCUGUUAUAGUACUGCUACACGCACACACACGCACACACACGAUCAGCAUCCCUAGACCCCAAAACCAACCGUCGCGCACACCCCAAACGUGUGAUCACGUUUAGAGUGUAAAUGAAUCUAGAUGAUAUUUACCUUGGUGCCCCUGCGCAUCAGCCCAGUUCAACCCGUGCGGUUUCUCGUAGCACUUGGCGCGCGGAUUCCUCAAACAUUACAACGUUCCUCAACUGUCAGCUAUCCUGAAACCUUUGAAGUUUGUAGAGCUCUGAAAGAGUACAUUUUAAGUGGAACAUUUACUCCACCAUGCAACAAAAAAAUGCGCAAGGAAAUGCGGCGUGUGUCUGAAAACUUCCUAGCAAAAGACAACCGAUUGUUUUACACUGGACCAAAUAAAACGUAUAUGAGACUAGUUGUUUGUACUGAGGAGGAAAAAGGUCUGUUUUGAUGGAGUGCCAUAACUCCGGCACCGGCAACCACAACGGUGUACGAGGCACGAGAGACAGGGUGAUUGCUGGAUACUUCUGGCCUACCCUAAUGAAAGAUGUAACUGAGUGGGUGAAGUGUUGUCGCCGCUGCCAACUAAAUGACCCCAUGAAGACGGGACACCAGUGUUACAUUCUAUUAAGGUAUUCCAAAUUCUGUUUUGUUUAAU
Astyanax mexicanus (Mexican tetra) is the source of this 804-nucleotide long non-coding RNA. RefSeq lists it as uncharacterized. NCBI's taxonomy places the organism in Eukaryota, Metazoa, Chordata, Actinopteri, Characiformes, Acestrorhamphidae. The record is from RefSeq and is a predicted model, not a curated record. The transcript is spliced from 4 exons.